This 263-nucleotide ribosomal RNA is filed under the name uncultured archaeon. RNAcentral describes it as "partial 16S ribosomal RNA". It matches the Rfam family "Archaeal small subunit ribosomal RNA", at positions 719 to 982 of the family's 1478-position model. The record is from RNAcentral.
AGUCACUGACAUUAGAUACCCGGGUAGUCCAGGGUGUAAACGCUGCAGACUUGGUGUUGGAAGUCCUUUGGGGGCAUUCAGUGCCGGAGAGAAGUUGUUAAGUCUGCUACUUGGGAGUACGUCCGCAAGGAUGAAACUUAAAGGAAUUGGCGGGGGAGCACCGCAACGGGAGGAGCGUGCGGUUUAAUUGGAUUCAACACCGUAAACUCACCAGGGAAGACUGUUACAUGAAAGCCGAGAUGAAGACUCUGCUAGAUUUUCAG